GAUGUUGAAGGACGAAUUGGUUAAUAUAGACAAAUACUCCAAGAAAAGGAACAAAUUCAACAAAAAAACUAUGGAGGAAGCCUUGAUUCAAUGUGUAAACUACCAUUCGGACAUUUUAAAGUUUGCAGAGAAUGGACAAACGUUGGUGAGUCGCCUUUCAUUUGCCCACAUCAUAUCUGCAAGUAUUAUCAUGGGUUGCCUGAUCUACAAAUUGUAUGCGAUGCCGAGUGACGUCUAUGAAGUCGGAAAACUAAUAUUAAUCAUGUGUGCCUUGUUUUUGCAACUGUU
This is a long non-coding RNA of Aethina tumida (small hive beetle), 288 nucleotides long. RefSeq lists it as uncharacterized. The transcript has 3 exons. The record is from RefSeq and is a predicted model, not a curated record. NCBI's taxonomy places the organism in Eukaryota, Metazoa, Arthropoda, Insecta, Coleoptera, Nitidulidae.